This 27-nucleotide ribosomal RNA is filed under the name Trichoderma atrobrunneum. Its description in RNAcentral is "partial 18S ribosomal RNA". Lineage: Eukaryota; Fungi; Ascomycota; Sordariomycetes; Hypocreales; Hypocreaceae. The record is from RNAcentral.
CCCUUGUUGCGACGCGGAGGGACAUUA